Callithrix jacchus (white-tufted-ear marmoset) is the source of this 2369-nucleotide non-coding RNA. The record is from RefSeq and is a predicted model, not a curated record. Lineage: Eukaryota; Metazoa; Chordata; Mammalia; Primates; Cebidae.
UUUUUUUGGAAGAACGCGCUUUUGCCUCCGAUUGGCCGCUGCCCGUCACGCGGCCCGCGGGCAGGACGGAAUUAGAGAACAUUCACUCACUGACCCGGCGUCCCCGCCGCUCGAGUUGAAGCCGUGUUCCUCUGGCGGAGAGCCCAGGUAGCACCUCUGGCGGCCCUCAUACAGGAGCAGGGCAAGACCCGUCCUGUCCCCUGGGCAUUGCUUCCUGCAGAUGACCUCACAGCACUCCUGAGCUGUCCCCACUGCCUCGGCUCCCACUCCCACCAGAGCCCCCAGUGCCUCAGCGAAGCUGAGCUACCCUGUCAGCCCACAGUCAGCAGAGGCAGAGGGAGCCCUUCUGGGCAAGUGGCCACUCGACACUGACCCUUCCGUCCCAUUUUAGGGUCUUGCUCUGUUGGCCAGGCUGGAAUGCAACCUUGCCCUCCUGGCCCCAAGUGACCCUCCCACCUCAGCCUUCCAGCCAAAGGCUGUGCCCCUCACUGCUGACGCUCGGCCUUCACUGGCUGCUCUACAGAUGAUACGCAGAGAUCACAUGCGACUGGUUGCUUCGGGAGCGUGGGGCAGCUCCUGUCAUGACGGAACUGGCUGAGACCAUCUGCCCUUCAACUGGACCUAUGCCAGUGCCCGAGGUGGCCUUUUGAUGUCGGAGGGCCAAAACCUCCAACCUCAGACCAUGCUAACACUGCCACUCCCGGUGCCUGUGUCCUGUGAAAUGCCAAGAACCCGACGACACCUGCACAGAAUGGGCCUGCUGGACCACCUGCUCUCUAGCCCAUAAAUACUCCUAAGCUGAAUCACUAGGGAGGCGGGUUUAAGAACUGUUCUCCCUCCUCCUCACUCAGCGGCCUCGAAAAUAAAUCUCUUCUCUUGGCUGGACACAGUGGCUCACACCUGUAAUCCCAGUGCUUUGGGAGGCUGAAGUGGGAAGACAGUUUGAGCUCAUGAGCUUGAGGCCAGCCUGGGCAAUAUAGCAAGACCCCGUAUUUCUACCAAAAAAAAAAAAAAAUUAGCCAGUCAUGGUAGCAAAUGCCUGUAGUCCCAGCUCCUCAGGAGGUUGAGGCAGGAGGGUCACUUGAGUCCAGGAGUUUGAGGCUGCGGUGAGCUGUGAUCACACCACUGCACUCCAGCCUGGCCACAGAGCAAGAAGACUCAGACUCAAGAAAAAAACAAAAAGUAACAAAAUUAGGGUGAACUAAAGGCCAUUGAGAACCUGCAGAAGCAGGAAAACCUGUUUACUUCUCCCAUUAGCUGCCUUAAAAAAUAAAGUGCUUGGCCAGGCGCAGGCACUCAGACCUGUAAUCCCAGCACUUUGGAAGGCCAAGGCAGGCAGCUCCCCUGAGGUCAGGAGUUCAAGACCAGCCUGACCAACAAUAAUGAAACCCCAUCUCUACUAAAAAUACAAAAGUUAGCUGGGCAUGGCGGCAGGCACCUGUAGUCCUUGCUGCUUGGGAGGCUGAGGCAGGAGAAUUGCUUGAAUCCAGGAGGCUGAGGUUGCAGUGAGCUGAGACCACACUAUUGCACUCCAGCCUGGGCAACAAGAGCGAAACUCCACCUCAAAUUUUAAAAAAAAUUAGAAGAAUAAAAAUAAAGUGCUCUUUCACGAAGGAAAUUUCCAAUGGUGACGGAAUCUAUGCCAGGAAGAGCAUUCCAGAAACAACUCUUUUCACCUGAGACACUUAACCAGCAUCACCUGCCUCCCAGCCCAGAGGCCGGCCCCAAGCCCUCUUCCCACUCUCUGGCUGCCCCCUUUGUGGCACUGAGCCCUCACCCACCGUCUGCCUCUCUGACUCUCAUUUUUGAGGUCCCUUCUCUCCAGCCUAUGAGUACAUCUGUAAUUUAAAAUUGCCUUUGUUUGUUUGUUUGUUUUGAGACAGAGUCUUGUUCUGUUGCCCAGCCUGGAGUGCAGUGAUGCAAUCUCAGCUCACCACAACCUCCGCCUCCCAGGUUCAAGCAAUUCUCCUUCCUCAGCCUCUUGGGUAGCUGGGACUACAGGGUCGAGCCACCAUGCCUGGCUAAUUUUUUGCAUUUUUAGUAUAGACGGGGGUUCACCGUGUUAGCCAGGAUGGUCAAUCUCCGGACCUCAUGAUCCGCCCGCCUCGGCCUCCCAAAGUGCUGGGAUUACAGGUGUGAGCCACUGCACCCGGCUAAAAUUGCCUUUUUAUCUUUUUCUCUGCUGUUCAUCUGUCUUAAGUCAGUUUCAUUCAAGGCCCAGCCAUGGAACCUAGAAGGGUAGAGGCAACUUUCUUCUUCCCCUGCUGCUGAGGCAGCAUACCCCCACGAACAGACACAGACGUGUAAAUGCAGAAAGAUGGAGCAGCAGCAGGAAAAGGGACCGGACGGCCCUGGGCACCCACCUGCCA